GAUGAAGAACGCAGCGAAAUGCGAUAAGUAAUGUGAAUUGCAGAAUUCAGUGAAUCAUCGAAUCUUUGAACGCACAUUGCGCCCGCCGGUAUUCUGGCGGGCAUGCCUGUCCGAGCGUCAUUUCAACCCUCGAACCCCUCCGGGGGGUCGGCGUUGGGGAUCGGCCCCUCACCGGGCCGCCCCCGAAAUCCAGUGGCGGUCUCGCCGCAGCCUCUCCUGCGCAGUAGUUUGCACACUCGCACCGGGAGCGCGGCGCGGCCACAGCCGUAAAACACCCCAAACUCUGAAAUGUUGACCUCGGAUCAGGUAGGAAUACCCGCUGAACUUAAGCAUAUCAAUAAGCGGAGGA
This 349-nucleotide unclassified non-coding RNA is filed under the name soil metagenome. RNAcentral's name for it is "partial contains 5.8S ribosomal RNA, internal transcribed spacer 2, and large subunit ribosomal RNA". The stretch from base 1 to 120 matches the Rfam family "5.8S ribosomal RNA", at positions 35 to 154 of the family's 154-position model. The record is from RNAcentral.